RNAcentral lists this long non-coding RNA (1595 nucleotides) under Durio zibethinus. Its description in RNAcentral is "long non-coding RNA (DZIB_LNC000133)". Lineage: Eukaryota; Viridiplantae; Streptophyta; Magnoliopsida; Malvales; Malvaceae. The record is from RNAcentral.
ACUGUUAAAUUCACAUGGAAAAGCUCUCAGAAAUUGGCUUCAAAUAUGGUCAAUGAACAACUCCCAGCAUUGAAGCUGAAGUCCUUGUUAUCUGAAAGCAUAUACAAAGUACAAGCUGCUAUCAUGAAGCCAGUAAAAGAAGGCUAUAUAUUUUUUCUUCAUUGCUUUGUCUCACUUUACAGCAUCAAAUGAGGUAAUUCUAAUGCUACCCUACUAUACUUUUUCUCUAGCAGUUUGUUCUUUUUCUUUGCUUCUCCUUUUAGUUUGUUUAGUAUUUUAGGAUCAUCCAAUACUUUUGCUGCUUUUUCCCUAUAUUAUAUAACCUAAAAAUGAAGAAAAAAAAAGUUUAUGGGUGAAGAAAAGGGAACACAACUCGUGAUGAGAUGUUGGUUUUUUAUAUGCCUACUUUGAUCUACUGUUGGUUCAUUUAAUUCAAUACGCAUGUUUUUCUGCUUUAAUGUUUGCUUGAUCAAGAUUCAAGAAACAUUCAAAGUCAUUUUAUUUGCAAUAUUGCAAGCAAAAUACUGUUGGGAGUUCAAAUUGCAGUCUGGUCUUUUAUUUGGUGGAUCUUGAUAAAGAAUCAGGUUAGGAGUACUUCUCAAUGCAUUAGUUAAGAUAUUUUUGGUGUCUGCAUAUGAAAAAUCAGGAGAUUUUUGCAGACUGGGAUGCAAAAUUAUGAUCAUGCCAUUUCUUGCAAUAUUUUGUGUAUGAUGUCUAGAUUCAGAUGAAGGUAAAUCCAAAUUUGGAGAACAUGUUUUGGUAGAGUGAUCUUUGAUUGGGUUUUAGGAGGCUGGGAGGUAGCUAAGCCCCUGAGCUGCGCACCAACCCGCUUUCUUCAGUCCCCCAUUUUGGAACAGAGAUCCUGCUUACCAUUGUCUCUAUACAUCCGCAAGUAUUUCAUGAUUCCCGGAACUUAACUUUUGCCGACAAAGCAAUAGAUAGGAUUUGCAACAGAAUAUAAUAAGGCAAUCAUUGGUUCUACAGAUAUGCCUCGAUUAGUAGGAUUUGCUAUAAGUCAUUUUUAAUUACAAUUUAUCUGUCAAAAGUUUUGGACACAAUCAUAAGAAUUAAACCUUGAUUGGCAUUCAGAACAAGCCACAAAUAGCAGUAUUCAGAACAAGCCACAAAUAGCAGUAUUUAAGAUCGUGCUAGUCAGUGAGAGAUUCUGUUUAACUAGUUCUCUGAUCCAUCGACUCUAUAAUUGCUGCCAAAAUACAGCAAAAUUCCAUAACUUUACAAGCUAAGGAAGCUUAUCAUAUGAAUCAAACAACUUGAAAAGGAUAUGAUAUAGUCUAAUAGCCGGCAGCCAAGCCACCACCAACACUUUCAGAAAUAUGGUCAGUCUGUUUCAAAGCACUUUCUUUUAGGUCUGUGAAAGUACUAGAUACACAGAUCGUACAAAGGUAAUGGCACAUAUAAGAGAGUCAAGGUAUUUUGUUGACUAUGAUAAGGAUAUUAUGGCAAUGGGACAAAUGAGAACUUGGAAGGAAUAAUUGGAGUGACCGGUGAAAUCCUACUCACUGAUCUAGUCAUGCUUAGCCAAGGCAAGGUGGCUGUAUGUAGUGUCAUCUAUGGCAACUGGCAAGGCAUCUACU